UCCCUGGCAGUCCAGUGGCUAAGAUUCUGCACUUCCAAUGCAGGAGACCCGGAUUUAAUCCCUGGUCAGGGAA
This 73-nucleotide transfer RNA is filed under the name Ovis aries (sheep). It matches the Rfam family "tRNA". From Rfam's summary of the family: Transfer RNA (tRNA) molecules are approximately 80 nucleotides in length. Their secondary structure includes four short double-helical elements and three loops (D, anti-codon, and T loops). Further hydrogen bonds mediate the characteristic L-shaped molecular structure. tRNAs have two regions of fundamental functional importance: the anti-codon, which is responsible for specific mRNA codon recognition, and the 3' end, to which the tRNAs corresponding amino acid is attached (by aminoacyl-tRNA synthetases). tRNAs cope with the degeneracy of the genetic code in two manners: having more than one tRNA (with a specific anti-codon) for a particular amino acid; and 'wobble' base-pairing, i.e. permitting non-standard base-pairing at the 3rd anti-codon position. Lineage: Eukaryota; Metazoa; Chordata; Mammalia; Artiodactyla; Bovidae. The record is from Rfam by way of RNAcentral.